RNAcentral lists this ribosomal RNA (484 nucleotides) under uncultured bacterium. RNAcentral describes it as "partial 16S ribosomal RNA". It matches the Rfam family "Bacterial small subunit ribosomal RNA", at positions 28 to 523 of the family's 1533-position model. The record is from RNAcentral.
GACGAACGCUGGCGGCACGCUUAACACAUGCAAGUCGAACGGAGUUAAACGAGAGCUUGCUCUUGUUUAACUUAGUGGCGGACGGGUGAGUAACACGUGAGCAACCUGCCUUUAAGAGAGGAAUAACAGUCUGAAAAGACUGCUAAUACCUCAUAACAUAACGAAGCCGCAUGGCUUUGUUAUCAAAGAUUUAUCGCUUAAAGAUGGGCUCGCGUCUGAUUACCUUGUUGGUGAGGAAACGGCCCACAAAGGCGACGAUCAGUAGCCGUACUGAGAGGUAGAUCGGCCACAUUGGGACUGAGACACGGCCCAGACUCCUACGGGAGGCAGCAGUGGGUAAUAUUGCACAAUGGAGGAAACUCUGAUGCAGCGAUGCCGCGUGAGGGAAGAAGGUUUUCGGAUUGUAAACCUCUGUCUUCAGGGACGAUAAUGACGGUACCUGAGGAGGAAGCUCCGGCUAACUACGUGCCAGCAGCCGCCGUAA